AUUGAACGCUGGCGGCAGGCCUAACACAUGCAAGUCGAGCGGAGCGGCGGACGGGUGGGUAAUUACUAUGAAUCUGCCUGGUGGGGGAUAACGUCCGGAAACGGGCGCUAAUACCUCAUACUCUCAGCUAAGCCUAGGUCGGAUUAGCUAGUUGGUGGGGUAAAGGCCUACCAAGGCGACGAUCCGUAACUGGUCUGAGAGGUGGAUCAGUCACACUGGAACUGAGACACGGUCCAGACUCCUACGGGAGGCAGCAGUGGGGAAUAUUGGACAAUGGGCGAAAGCCUGAUCCAGCCAUGCCGCGUGUGUGAAGAAGGCCUUCGGAUUGUAAAGCACUUUAAGUGGGGAGGCGUUACCAACAGAAUAAGCACCGGCUAACUCCGUGCCAGCAGCCGCGGUAAUAC
This 404-nucleotide ribosomal RNA is filed under the name uncultured bacterium. RNAcentral describes it as "partial 16S ribosomal RNA". It matches the Rfam family "Bacterial small subunit ribosomal RNA", at positions 30 to 526 of the family's 1533-position model. The record is from RNAcentral.